AUUGAACGCUGGCGGAUGCCUUACACAUGCAAGUCGAACGGUAACAGGUCUUCGGAUGCUGACGAGUGGCGAACGGGUGAGUAAUACAUCGGAACGUGCCCGAUCGUGGGGGAUAACGGAGCGAAAGCUUUGCUAAUACCGCAUACGAUCUACGGAUGAAAGCAGGGGAUCGCAAGACCUUGCGCUGAUUGAGCGGCCGAUGUCAGAUUAGCUAGUUGGUGAGGUAAAGGCUCACCAAGGCGACGAUCUGUAGCGGGUCUGAGAGGAUGAUCCGCCACACUGGAACUGAGACACGGUCCAGACUCCUACGGGAGGCAGCAGUGGGGAAUUUUGGACAAUGGGCGAAAGCCUGAUCCAGCAAUGCCGCGUGCAGGAAGAAGGCCUUCGGGUUGUAAACUGCUUUUGUACGGAACGAAACGGUCCUUUUUAAUACAGGGGGCUAAUGACGGUACCGUAAGAAUAAGCACCGGCUAACUACGUG
This 481-nucleotide ribosomal RNA is filed under the name uncultured bacterium. RNAcentral describes it as "bacterial SSU rRNA". It matches the Rfam family "Bacterial small subunit ribosomal RNA", at positions 30 to 507 of the family's 1533-position model. The record is from RNAcentral.